Molecule: long non-coding RNA, 1217 nt
Filed under: Callithrix jacchus (white-tufted-ear marmoset)
Lineage: Eukaryota; Metazoa; Chordata; Mammalia; Primates; Cebidae
Description: lncRNA (ENSCJAG00000063409.2)
Source: RNAcentral
AUACCAGGAUACUGUUGAGUAGAAGUGUUGAGAAUGGACUACUUGACUGAGGCUGGAUUUUAAGGAGGAAAGCAUCCAGUCUUUCACCCUUAGGUAUGACAGAGCUGUGCAUUUCUGUAGAUGCCCUUUUCAAGUUGGAGCUUCCCUUCUAUUCCUAGUUUGUAGAGCUCUUUCCACUUCAUAUCAUCUCUUUUUCUUCUAGUUAAAUUUUACUAAAGUUUACUCUAUCAGAUAAAAACCGUAGCCAUGAGAUUCCUUUGAGGUAAGACCUUCUUCAUCUUGGGCUUCCUGCAGGGCUAUUGUGAUAUAACACCCUUAAGAUUCUUAGAAGCUCUUUUUUAAAAAAUUGAAUUUAUCCAUGACGAAUAACCUUAAGAUAUUUGUAGCAAGACUUUUCUUUUUUUUUAAAUAUAUAUAUCUGAAAUAUUUCUGAUGUCGCAACAUAAGGUUUUCUGGUCACAGUCUUGGCUUCCUCUGUAGAUAAAGCUCUAUAUUUGAGCUUCCUGAUAACAACUCUCAAUUUGACCUUGCCUGGAAGCCAUUUUUUUUUUUUUUUGAGACGUAGUCUCACUCUGUCACCCAGGCUAGAGUGUAGUGGCAUAAUCUCAGCUCACUGCAAUCUCUGCCUCCCGGGUUUAAGUGACUCUCCUGCCUCAGCCUCCCAAGUAGCUGGGAUUACAGGUGCCCACCACUAUGCCCAACAAAUUUUCUUGUUUUUUUUUUUUUUUUAGUAGAGACCAGGUUUUGCCAUGUUGGCCAGGCUGGUCUCAAACUCCUGACCUCAGGUGAUCUGCCUGCCUCAGCGUCCCUAAGUGCUGGGAUUGCAGGUGUGAGCCACCAUGCCUGAUCUCCAUUUCUUAAUUUUAGUGUUAUUUCCUAUACAGAGAGGCUGGUAAUAAAAUGGAGUUGUAUUUUUGAACGAGUACAUCCUGGUUCCUUUAUGUUUAACAAUUCCUUCUUCAGUUAUAGCUUUCCUCCUGCAUUCUUCUAUGAACAGACGACAGAAGAAGCUAGACAACAUCUUUAACACGCUGCCUGGAAAGCUCCUCAGCUAUAUAUCCAGUUCAUUAGAUCUCCCUUACAGAAGCAAGAAGUUGGACCCAGGCAAAUCUCUGAAUCCACCGAAGAUAGUUGAGACUUGGAUGUUAAAUGAGAUGUUCAGUGAAUCACAACUCUCCUACCACAGAUAUGGGCAUUUGAACACGUGCCCUUGCUAG